Molecule: long non-coding RNA, 339 nt
Filed under: Solanum tuberosum (potato)
Lineage: Eukaryota; Viridiplantae; Streptophyta; Magnoliopsida; Solanales; Solanaceae
Description: long non-coding RNA (STUB_LNC004517)
Source: RNAcentral
ACAAAACAACCCACCUGUAUAAAGAUUUAAGGCUUAAAAUAAACAUUCAUACCUGGGGAAGAUCUGUAAAGAUCCAUCCCUAUCAAAAUGUUUCAUUUUCGUUGUCACAACAUUGCUUGUUUGCUGGAGUUUGCUGAUCGGGGGUGGCCUGGUCACUGCUUGUUCGCCGCCGGCUGCUGCUGUUGCUGUCACGGAGCUCGCUGGAAGAGUUGUUCCCGUCGAGAGGAGGAGAGGAAAGGGAAGAGAAGGCAGCGAGGAGAGGAGUGGGGGAACAGAGGUUUCGCCGGAGAGGGCGAUGGUAUCUCUCUGUCUCGCCGGUGUCGAUGGAGAAGAGAGAUG